CAGUCAAUCAGCUCCCUGCUUCUAACUGCUUUUUUAAUUUUACUGUUUGGACAUUUAUUUUAAAUGCUGAUUAAAGGUUAUGUUUUAAUUUUUACACUUCUAAUCUAAUUCGGAGUUUAUGCAUGGGAAGGUGCAAUUAUGUGGGCCGGUUCUUUCAUUUUCUUUUUUCUUUGUAUAUCGUUUCAAGAACCAGCAGUGCAGAGAAUGGAAAUAGCCAGACAGAUGCUACUUGCAGUUUGCUAAUGUAAUUGUUAUUGAGAGCAGUGUUUAUCCCUUUCCUCUGGUUCCGACUUCUGAAACAAUGUAGCAAAACCUUCAUCCUGUCUGAAUUCUGAUAUCGUUUCAAGAACCAGCAGUGCAGAGAGUAUAAACAGCCAUUGGGAGCAGGGUUUAUCCCUUUCCUCUGGUUCCGACUUCUGAAACAAUGUAGCAAAACCUUCCAUGUGUCUGAAUUCUGAUAUCGUUUCAAGAAUGAAAAAGUAUGGUGUUGGGGAGCGCCAACCAUCAAACACAGUGUAUGGUGAGCAGGGUCAGAUAAUAUCUAUAUACAAAGAAAAUGGCCCACGCAAUUGCACCUUCCCAUACAUAAACUCCGAAUUAGAUUAGAAGUGUUAAAAUUAAAACAUAACCUUUAAUCAGCAUUUCAAAUAAAUGUCCAAACAGGUUAAGAACCUUAGCUAAUUGCUGGAAUUAAGUGCCUGAGGCACAUUGCAUUACAACUAAAGGGUACUACAGAUCGGGUGGUGUAUUAUGAGGGUGAAUGGGUUGGAAUUGGUGGAAUGACCCGUGGGUUAGAAUCUUAAGGUAAUCGCUUGAAUUAAGUGCCCGAAGCACUUUGAAUUCCAACCGAUACUACCCCUGGUAUUUACCAGUACGGUUAGGUAGCCAUUUGUUAAUUUGGUUUAUACUCUCCUUUCUCGCAUAUAACUCCAGGCCGUAGGCUUUUGUUAUUUAUCUCCUUUAUAUGGCCAAAUUUUCUCAUUAUGGGAGGGAGCUCUAAAUGGAUGAAGGGGUUGGUGCUAUAAAGGGUACUCUUAAAGUGAUUAUCGCAUGGUGGUUGCAGGAAAGAUACCCAAUACCCACUGGGAUUAACCAAUCAUUAUUGGUUAACCACUCAUAAUAACCCUCCU
This is a long non-coding RNA of Xenopus laevis (African clawed frog), 1130 nucleotides long. RefSeq lists it as uncharacterized. The transcript is spliced from 2 exons. The record is from RefSeq and is a predicted model, not a curated record. NCBI's taxonomy places the organism in Eukaryota, Metazoa, Chordata, Amphibia, Anura, Pipidae.